Molecule: long non-coding RNA, 4919 nt
Organism: Aethalodelphis obliquidens (Pacific white-sided dolphin)
Lineage: Eukaryota; Metazoa; Chordata; Mammalia; Artiodactyla; Delphinidae
Exons: 2
Source: RefSeq, a predicted model, not a curated record
GGGUAGCGCCGGGGCCGCGACGACCGCCCAGUUCCGGCUGGUUUAGGCCCUCCAGCCCCCGGGUUUCGCUUUCAAGCGCGCAGAGCGGGAGGAGCGCGGGUCAGCGCCGGGAGCCCUGGAGUCCCAGGGAGAAACUCGCCGCUGCGUCGCGUGGGCCGGCUUCAGGGUCAAGUUCGCGCGCUCCGCGUUUCACACUUUUCGUUGCGGGCGAGGUAGAGGAAGGUUGACGGUGGUCGCUCCGAGCGGUCCCCACAGCUGGUAACUUACGGUCGGUGACAGUGACCUUUCGCAUUGCACUCGCCGGCACGUCGCAGGUUCCCGCCACCCAAGCCGUGGCCGCACAGACCUGUAGCCUUUCAACAGAGCACCCCAGGGAAGGAGGCGAUGUCUGCGCUUUAAAAAUCAAACUUCCUGAAAGAGUGGGCUUUGAGGGAACCGGAGCUAGAAAGUGCAGCGUUUCUAAAAGCUGAACAAUAGCAGUGAAUGCAGGAAGAAAGUUGUUCAUGAAACUGCGGUGUCCUUAGUAGUCAAAGAAAAAGUUACUAAAGUUCAAUACAGUUACAAAGGUAAGAAUUGUGUGCAUAUAGAUCUUGGAGAGAUUUUUGGACAAUAGACAUUAUACACAAAAAGUUUCUCUUCUAAAUCCUAAAGUUACCAGAAAUUGUAGUUCUUUUGUCUUGUGAUAAAUAUUCUUAUGUAAGCUGAAUGGGAAGAUCUGCUCCUGACCUAUCCAGAUACUGAACCUCAACUAACAGAUAUGAAUUUAGUUGUUUCUGUUUCUAAUCAAAGAAAUAAAGCUUGCUCCUUAAUUGGGUUGGGAGGCUGACAUUAGAAGGUAAUUAUAUUCUUGGCUUCAAAGCAAAAUUGGGGAAAAAACAAAACAGAAGAAACUCUUUUCGGACCCACGAGACUCAGGUACUUUCUUAGCUCUUCUUAAAGAGUUCCUGUCCUCUUCUGGGCCUCCAGGCACCCUGAGGACUGCUGAGAAAACCAGGUGAGAAGGCAUAUGUGGUUACAUGGUAUGUGGUUACAUACCUGGCUCUUAAGAGAGAGCUAUUCUAUCUUGAUUGAUCCGCCACCAUAUCUGCUGAGCAGUGUGAACCUUCUAAUAGUUAUAUGACAUUACCAUUCUCCAGUAGGCGAAUUCUUUAAUUUUUCGAACUUUUAGCACAAAAGUUCGUAGUCACACAACUCUGUGAUUGGAUCAGGCUAUACAAUACCAAACAUCCAAAGAGAAAGAAAAAAAAAUUCAAUGGGGCAUCAACAUUUUAGGAAAGUUCUUCGUAGUUCAUUUCAGGUAAACUUUUAAAGGAAUCCAGAACAUCUGUGCCACUCCCUCAAGGCAGGAGGGAUACACAUCUGUACCUUCACUCUCUUAUGUCUCCAGGGACAGAAGUUUCACUAGGAAGUUUAUCACUGUGGUUUAUCAAACUCUGCCCUGUUGGCCCAAUCCCAUGUCUUAUUCCUCAGUGAAGAUAAAGAACCGUGGUCAGCAUAAUAUAAACAAGCAUUUAAAGCCAGUAAGAGAGUGGAAGGAGAUGACUUUCCAAGGUCAUGUAUCUCUUCUCCUCAAGCCCUUCAGAGGCUUCCAUCUGAAUUCUCCUACGUGGUCUUAUACGGCUCAGUCCUGCCUGUGUCUCCAGCCUUACAUCACUUAAUUCCUGCUAUCCUGGCCUUUUUCCAGUUCCUAGAGCAAACCAAACCGUUUUCCCUCUCAGGACUUCAUACUUGCAGUUCCUUGUGCUGGAAUGUUCCUGUCCACUCUGUCCCCGGCUAACUCCUAUUCAGACUUGGCAUCUCACCUCCAAUGUGCGUCCUUCAAGGAGAUCUUCCCAAAAUCCCCAGAGAGGGAAAAAAUAUUGUUUAUUAUGCCUAUGAACAAAUGAGCCAAACUCUAGGUUUGGAGCUUUUGAAUGCAGUCUAUUACAGCAUCUCUACUUAUUAGAACUAAUAUACUAUAAUUAACAGAAUGAGGGUAUUUGUUGAAGUGUGUCUUCUUUGAUAUGAACACAACAGCAUCAGGUAUUUUAUUUCACUGAGAAAUUAUUUCAGGAUAUUUUUCAAACACACACAAAUUAUCCCAGUGAACUAAUUAAAUUUUCUUCAUUAUUUUAUUCUUUUUAGCUUUUAAUUUUGAACUAUUCUGAGACUUACAGAAAAGCUAUAGAAAUAAUAGAGCUCUCAUAAACCCCUCACCCAGUUUCUCUUAAUUUUAACAUGUUACGUAACUGUGGUACAGUGUUCAGAAUGAGGAAAUUAACAUUGGUAUAGUAUUGACACUAUUCACUAAACUAUAGACUUUGUUCCAAUUUCACCCUUUUUUCCACUAAUUCCCCUUUUCUGUUCCAGGAUCAAUCCAGGGUCCUUAUUACACUUAGUUGCUCUGUCUCCUUCCUCUCUUCCAAUCUAUGACAGUUCCUCAGCCUCUCUGCUUUCAUGUCUUUGACAUUUUUGAAGAGCUCUUAUCACCUCCUCCUCAGGCUGCCCCUCAAUGUGGGUUCAUUUGAAGUUUCCUCUUGAUUAGAGUGAGGUUAUUCCUUUCGGGCAAUAAUACCACAGAGAUUAUGUUGUCUUUCCCAGCGCAUCAUAUCAAAGGGUUUAUGAUGUCAAUGUGUCUUCUUCCUGGCGAUGUUAACCUUGAUCAUUUGGUUUAGGUGGUGUCUGCAGGGGUUUUCACUGUAUAGUUACUAUUUUCACUUUCUGAUUAAUAAAUACAUUGUGGGAAGAUACUUUGAGAUCAUGCAAAUAUCCUGUUUCUCCUCAAACUUACACCCACUAAUUUAGUAUUCAUCAGUGGAUACUGAAUGCAACAACUAUGAUGCCUAAUGGUGAUUUUUUUAAUUUCAUUUUUUCCUUCUCUAUUUAUUAAAUUGGAAUUCUAAUGCAAAGAAGAGCAUUUACUUCUCCCCCAUUUAUUUAUUUAUUCAAUUGCUUAAAUAUAUCAAUAUGGACUCAUAAAUAUUUACUUUAUUCUUUGAGUUAUAAUCCAAUACUAUUAUUAUUAAUUUUGCUGCUCAAAUUGUUCCAGCUUUGGCCAUUAAAAGCUCUUUUAGUUUGGCUCCCAUGUCCUUUCAACAAGCCCCAUUCUUUUUAAGCAUUUCAUUGCUUUCUAGCAACAUAAAAUGUUUCAGGUUCAUCUUGUAUUUUCCCUUCCCCAGGGCUGAAUCAGCUACUUCCCCAAGGAGCUCUAGCUCCUUCUACUGGAGAAUAGGAUCUAGAAACCAAAAUCUAGUUGCCAGGCAUACUCAUUGCUACUGGAAUGUUGUUUCUAGGCUCUCUCAGCGGAGAGAGCUGGAAGUUAUAAAUAUGUAUACUAACCCAGGCAUCCACACACAUCUGUAUUUCUGUAUCUAUAUGUAUGUGUCUAUGUAUACAAAAGACAAUAAGCUUACACUGAUACCUCUGAUUCCAAGAGCACAGAGUUCAUUGUCUUUAUUUGUAGCUUCUUUCUCCAACAGUGAGAAACCUGAUAUCAUUAUCUAUAAUAGAUUUACUUAUUUCUUCAUUUCUAGUUUAGAGUUUCAGAAGUAUUAACCCAUGCUUCUAUGAGAAGGACAUUUACUAACUAGAUUAUAGCAUCUAUAUACAGUUCUUUUGUCUUUAGCUUUAUAAUACCCAGUCAAGAUACUGUUGACCAAAGUUACUUAGAUUAGACCGGUUUUCUUUCACCUUCUUUACUUUAUUGUCUAUUUGUAAUAAGGUUAGGUUCAUUUGUUACUGUUUGUAUUUCAGUUGGGGUUUCCCACAUGCUAGUUGGUUUUGUUUCUUGAUUUGGGAGUAUUUGAAGGGUAUGUGAGACAUUACUGUAGUUUAAGAGUCAGAGAGAGAUGUACCAAAUGGUACACUUGGAGAGGGGUUGCCCCCUCAUCAUCCUUACAAUCUGGUUCCUAUUCUCAUUCCACGUCACCCCCGUAGGUAACCAGUCUCCUUAGUUACUGGUUUAUCCUUCCUGUAUUUCUUUUGCACCAGUGAACAGAUAAGUGUGUAUUUUCUCAUAUUCCCCUUCUUUCUCACAUGAAACCUAACAUACUACAGGUUCUCUUUUCCACUUAGCAUUUUUUCACUUAACAGGAUAUGUCUUUUCUGCUUCACAAAUCUGUAAUCCUCAAAGGUAGGCCCUGACUAUACCGGCCAAAUUCAUAUCAAGGCUAAAUCGUUUCCAAAUCUUGCUUCAACUUCGCAGGAAAGCACCUGGUUUUAAACAUAUUGUAUGCUAAAAGUCGAGAACUUGGUCUACAUCUGGGUGCUCUAUUGCAGCUAAAGCAGGAUUUGUCUUCUCAAAUGUUCUUUCCAUCAAACAAGCUUGUCCUCUUUUCCAGCUUCUCUCCCAUUCCCUUUGGAGCAGACAUGAGGGAUUUCUUGUACAUUUGCAUGUACAUUUAUCAUUUAUUGGCUAUUAUAUAGCUCCUCAUUGAUCAGCUCGAAGCCCAUCCUCAGCAUGUCUGGAGAGCAUCAUAUACCUGAGAUCUGAGCGUGUGGCUAUAGGUAUCACCAGCCUCCCCUUUCGGAAGAUGUGCUCCUACUGCCUGUAGCUAUUUAUCCAGCUUCCUAUAGAACAAACCCAGGAAAGGCAGAAUUUGCUCCCUAGAGAACAAUAAAGGAGAUCUGUUACCCACAGGAGGUGGCAUGGUGUACGACCAAGGCGGUAGGGCUGAGGAGGGGCGUCAGUUCCCUGAGUGCACCAUUCCAUACAGCUCUGACUCAGAGCCAUAGGUAGGAUGCAGAUUUUGCAUUUAAGCCUAAACUUUAGACAAAGACAAUAAGCAGUCACAUAUAUUUUAAAUUUUUAGUAUUAAUGCUAUAAAACUAAUACUUUAGUAUAAGCAUCUCAUAAAACGUUAUGAGCAUAAAACAUUAACUAUGUUUAAGUGCUUGGCAUAGUGCUUUUCACAAAUGUCACUCAGUAAAUUUGCCUUUUU